UCUAAAUCUUCGUUCUUAUUUUUUUUCAUUUUCGCCUUCCUUUUUUGUGUAUUCAAUGCAUUCCACAAGAAUGAAGGACUGGAAUA
This 86-nucleotide non-coding RNA is filed under the name Chaetoceros affinis. The record is from RNAcentral. Lineage: Eukaryota; Bacillariophyta; Thalassiosirophyceae; Chaetocerotales; Chaetocerotaceae.